GAAGUGGGGUCACUUUAAGCUCCAUCUAAAUGAUGCGUUAGUGAAUGCGAGGGCUUCACGGGACGCCAAUGUUCGGAUAGACUCCGGGGAGGGGGGAGUGGGAGGCCUCCAUCAGCUCACUUUUCUUGCCCACCUCAUGUUUACUUUCCCUACUUCUUCUCCUGAAGGCAUCCCCCUUCGCACGGGCAGAUGUCCCCCUCAUUUGAGCCUGACGGGAAAGGAAGUGGGAACAUCUGGGGAGAAGAACAGAAUCCACGGAAGAAAAAAAACAAAAAAAACCUGGAGGAGGAAGUCAGGAGGAGGAGAGCGACUGGUGCAGAGUUGAAACAGGCAGGAGCUCUGCCCAUCUGCUGCCCGCCUACAGGCCCGGACAGGCUGCGCAAAGGUCAACUUUGUGUGAACUUGAUGUGCCACCAGGACCGGAUGACGGUGCUUAACCCGGGGGGUCAGGUGAAGUCCAAUCUCUCCUAAAUAUGCCAUACACAGAGGUGUCUGCAAAACCUUUUUUUUGAGGGGGGGUGUGUUUGCAAUUGACUUUUUCAGACUCAAAAUUUGUGGCGGUGCUUAUUAAUGCCAGACUUCACGUUUUCAGUGGAUUGAAAUGCAUUUGUACUCGAGUCUAAAACGACCCAUGACACGCGGGCAGCCACAGGUAAAUCCUUAUUUGUCAUCUUCACGUGAAUUGCGAAAGGUGAGAUUAACUCCAAAAACCACCACGUCACACUGGCGAAUUGAGACGUCGACUGUUGAAGGAAACACCCUCUGAAAUUCUGCAAUGAUGUAUUGAUUUUCCUCCCGUCUUUCGCCCCGAUGCCUCCGGGGUAAUUGCCUCCUCGCUGCUGCUGAGCUGAACCAUCGGGGUGUCUCGGCGUCUCAGGCCCGUUGUGUCGGCCUCUGGUGCGUCACGUGUCUCUGCCGUCAGACGCCGCAGGGCCUCGCUCGACUCGGACGUUUGUUUAUUGCUGUGUACGAGAACACGAGGUCUCAUCCCGACACUGCGCUUUAACUCUGUCAGGAUGCUCGACUGCCCUCUGAAAAUGGAAGACGAACACUCGGUAUGAAAUGUCUUUUUUUUUUUUUAGGACAAUGAACCUUGUGGGCUUUAGAGCGAGAUGGAGAUAAAGUGUUGAUGGCAGUCUCCACGUCCCCAAGAUCUAGAAUAAAUGUUUUCCUCUUUCUUGGUCCAGAAGAGAACUCUAUCCAUCACAUUUCAGCAGGUCUUGCUGAAGUUCAUCUGGGUAAAAUGCAAAUAGAGUUUUUAGGUUUCUCUUGUUUUUGUUUUUUUAAGGUCAAGCUAUUGACGGGACUCUGAGUUGCCGCUUUAACGUUGGUAACUGUAUUCCAAAGUGACACAUGUCUCGGCAGAAUCUGCGAGCGUAUCAAAGAUCACACGCACGAACGACGGGAAGAAAUCGAUUGAAAUUCCUUCGAUGUGUCAUUGUCUCAGUCACUAGGAAGAUCGAAUGGAGAGCGAGCGCGCUGUGUGUAAAUUGCUCCUCGAAUCCGGCGGCUGAAACCAAUAUUGUUUUCUUUGCUUUGCUAAUUAUUAAUUACCCAUCUCCAUGCAUAUGUGUUUAUUCCUAAUUGUAUUUGAUGGAUGAGUGGCAGCUUUGACACCUCAUUAGACCAGAUUAAUUGAACGACACGAUAUUUAUGUCUCGGCAAUGACCAGUUAUCCCACCAUCUAUCAGCGAGAUGAUCUCACUGAUUGAAAACCACUGGUCCGUGUAAUCCUAAUUAUUUGGAAUUAGAAAAGAAUUUAUAGCUUCUUGUGGCGUUUUUCUGUGAUGACGGCAAAUUGGAAACAUUAAAUGCAUAACGAGGGAGAAAAUGAGAGGAAGACACAAUCAUGGAAUUAAUGGGGGUGAAUGUCGGAGAAGGGGGAAGGGCGCAUAAAACAAACGAGGUGCACGCCUCGUAGACCUGCACAGACACACACACACACACACACUUAUGUUCUCUCCAGAUUCUUUUUCAUAGUUUUGCAUGGAAAUGCCCACAGGAUGCCUAUUUAGAAGAGAGGUCCCUUUUUUUAACUUUUACCUAAAUAUGUAUAUUCUGCAACUCCCCAUCCACUCGCAUCCAAACAUGCUUCUGCAGAACAUCUCGAUCCAUAUUCUUGUCUUUUAUUUUAAAAAAAGUUGCCCAAGUGCUGGAAAGAAGAAGAAAAAAAAAACAUUUUCACUGAACUUCAUAUAACCCUCCUCUAACUUCUGCAAAGCUUUGUCCCUCAUGGGAGGAGCACAAACUAAAAUCCAGCAUUUGAGCUCACAGAGAAGCAACAAGGCUCGGAAGAGUGGAGCUUUUACUAUCAUACAGUGUAGGAAAGCCUCAAGGAACACACUCCUUUCCCAGGUAGUGAGAACUCCUCGAGCUUAUGUUUCCUUUUUUUUUUUUCUUUCUCCAACUUUUCAAGUUCCUAACACCAUUAGCCGGCUCCCUCGUGGUCUUGAAAGCGGCAGCGCCGAUUGAAUUAAGCUGUUUCCUUCUUUGAGUCAUUUUGACAAGCUUUCUUACACAGUCACUCACUGCUGUAACUACACACACCGACAGGCUCUGCGUGCUCGCGCACACGCAGCACACAUCCAGGCGUGCACACGUGUGCAAAUACAAACCGAAUCUCCCGAACUAUCUAUAGAAAUCUGCUGACUAGAGCAGCUCAAUGGGAUACAGAGGCAAAGACAUUCUGAGAAGCCGCUCCGUAAUGCCAUUUACACCAGUGUUUUAAUCAGUUUAACUGGCCGGUUGAGAUUCACUUGGCUCAAAAGGCUCCUUCUAGUUUUUAAAAAUAGGACAAGUGGUCUCCGGAAUCAACCGGGGAGGCGUUUAAUCUCGUUGAAUGGAGCCAAAGCCAGAUGUUUAGCUCUACACAGUAUAGAAUACAAGAUUAAACCGGCCUGAUAUAGCCCUUCCACCGCCCGUUUAUUUUUAUCCUCUAUUAAGGCAGCGAUAUCCUUAAAGGCUGCCAAAAUUAUCCUGUAAAAAUGCUGACAGGGAAAUAUGAAAGGUUCCAGGCGGUUCUAGUAAGCAAUCUGCGCGCAUGGUGGAGCAAUGUGACUGCUGUGCUUGCUAUACCAACAGGGGUGACCCCGGUUGGACGGAGAGGUGAGACUAAAUGAAAGUCAUCCCUGGAUCUUAGCGGAGCCAAGUCUUGAAUACCAAGCCGUCUUUUAAAAAAAAAAGAGAUUUAAUGCCAACGGAGGCUGCUUUACAUAAAUGCUCGUUUCUUUUUGUGCUAUGUUCAUCAACAAUGUGUAAAAGUCCUGCGGUUUAAAAAGACACCAGAGAUUUUUGUUUUUUUUCCCUCCCUCAAUUUUACUAUAAGGCCAAUGCACGAUGCUUUCAAGUGUAAGUCGUUCAGCAGCUGUUUAAAUUAUGCAUUGAACUAAUUUGAUCAUUUUAUCAGCAGCUGAAAUCAAUGCUCAGAGGAUUUUUGUUUCACAGGAUACACCACUGACUCUUAAGUGUUUUUGACAAUCCUCCCGUCUUUUGGAGGUGAUUCAUACUGAAGCGCUGUGGGAGCGAGACGAGCAAAGAGGAUAAUUUCCUUAUCAAAACACGCGAUAAGUCGUUUGAGACUGAAAGUUUUGUUCUUAAGUUAACUGCUCCUCAGAGCUGAGCUGCUAACCGACGAGGUACGAGUGCUCCGUGACACAAAUUCAAUGAGCAUACGAUCUUGUCCUCUUUUCUUCUUCUUCUUCUUCUUCUCUGAGACGUUUUUGGUAUCGCUGACUGCAGAAGUUCUCCCCGCUGUUCCUCCACAGUAACCGGACCUACUGGCAGAGAUGCCAGCGCGUUGUCCCCCUGUGCGGCUUUUAACCGCCAGCUAGCCGUCGCCUGUUUUUUGAGCCAAAAACAUGCUAAAAGAAAUCUCAAUAUGAUGGAUAACAAAGUCUCACCAUGUUUCGUAGACUUGUUCUCCAGCAGACACUCAAAGCCGCCGUGUAAAGUUACACGCUUCUCUCGGCGCCAGCUGUUUCACCUGCAGCGGCCGAACGCAGCAGGCCUGCUUCGUGUGCACGAGCGUCGUAACGCUGCAAAAAGCUGACGCCACAUGGGCCGUUUUUUUUUUUUUUUUUGCCAGCUGCCUUAUUGGAAUGAACUUGAGAGGAAUGUAUUGAUCCUGUUUCUGGAUGGCAAUGACACAAGCCGGCUCUGCUUUUAGAGGUGACUCCAUCCAGACUCCAUCCCACCCACCACCCCAUUGUGUUAUGCAGGUGACGUAGGGCGAGUCGCCGAGGAUUCGGCUGGUGUCAAGGAGCCGUUUAAAAUUAGAGCACGCUGGCGCAAUUGAUUUUGUUUAUAUCUAAUGUGAUUAAACGCGGCGGAGACCAUUUGCUGUUGCUGGACUCACAAUCGCGGCUUUCGUUUUGCAGCGCGGCUGCGACGCAGGUUAGAAAGAUGUCCUCCAGAUAAUGUAUGCCAUUUGGCGAUUGCAUUUAACCAAAGUGUCUCGUCGUGAUUGAGGACAUUGUGAUAAUGAAUGGAGCAGUGAGAACAAGUGUGGUAUUGUUGAUGCCACGAUUCAAGACGGCAUGAAUGG
This is a non-coding RNA of Gasterosteus aculeatus aculeatus (three-spined stickleback), 4543 nucleotides long. NCBI's taxonomy places the organism in Eukaryota, Metazoa, Chordata, Actinopteri, Perciformes, Gasterosteidae. The record is from RefSeq and is a predicted model, not a curated record.